UCAUUGUCGAUACCUGUCCAAAACAGAACGACCCGUGAACGUGUAAUACCAACAUAACAUAAUUGACUCCUCCCCCCGCUUGUCGGCGCGCGCUUCGCCCCCUAACUAACCGUAAGAGGACGCGGUAGAUGACACGGUGGGAAGGUAACGAACCCCGGCGCAGUGGGCGCCAAGGAAACACUUUUUGGAAGCGCCGUCGCGGCCUCCCCCUCCUCCGCGGCGGGACGGAGGGUGGGGACGCGGGCGCGGAUAUAGAUAUCGUAUUCUGUUAAACGACUCUCGGCAACGGAUAUCUUGGCUCGCGCAUCGAUGAAGAACGUAGCGAAAUGCGAUACUUGGUGUGAAUUGCAGAAUCCCGUGAACCAUCGAGUUUUUGAACGCAAGUUGCGCCCGAGGCCAUCCGGCCAAGGGCACGCCUGCCUGGGCGUCACGCAUCCCGUCGCUCCUCGCAUACCAUCCAGUAUGAGUGCACGGAUGCGGAGAUUGGCCCCCCGUGCCCCGUGCGCGGCGGUCAAGUGCGGGCCGUCGUCGGCCGGGCGCGGCUAGUGGUGGACGAGAUUCGUUGUGCCUACUCUCCGUGUCCCGACCCCCACGCGACGCGUCGUCGGACCCCUCACCAAGGAGCAGCGCAGGAAUGACAUCCUGAACGCGACCCAGGUCAGGCGGGGCUACCCGCUGAGUUUAAACAUAUCA
Molecule: ribosomal RNA, 693 nt
Filed under: Asplenium lolegnamense
Lineage: Eukaryota; Viridiplantae; Streptophyta; Polypodiopsida; Polypodiales; Aspleniaceae
Description: eukaryotic LSU rRNA
Rfam family: 5.8S ribosomal RNA (bases 275-430)
Source: RNAcentral